RNAcentral lists this microRNA precursor (107 nucleotides) under Capsella rubella. Its description in RNAcentral is "MIR398 microRNA precursor family". It matches the Rfam family "MIR398 microRNA precursor family". Lineage: Eukaryota; Viridiplantae; Streptophyta; Magnoliopsida; Brassicales; Brassicaceae. The record is from Rfam by way of RNAcentral.
UGGAACUCGACAGGGUCGACAUGAGAACACAUGUGCAUUCAACGACUGUGAUGACCAUUACAUCUCUCCGGUUUCAUGUGUUCUCAGGUCACCCCUGCUGAGUUUUU